UACGGAGGGUGCGAGCGUUGUCCGGAAUCACUGGGCGUAAAGGGCGCGUAGGUGGCGCAGGAAGUCAACGGUGAAAGUUCAGGGCUCAACCCUGAAAUGCCGGUGGAAACUGUCGAGCUAGAGUCCGGAAGAGGCGAGUGGAAUUCCUGGUGUAGCGGUGAAAUGCGCAGAUAUCAGGAGGAACACCAAUGGCGAAGGCAGCUCGCUGGGACGGUACUGACGCUGAGACGCGAAAGCGUGGGGAGCAAACAGG
This 253-nucleotide ribosomal RNA is filed under the name uncultured bacterium. RNAcentral describes it as "partial 16S ribosomal RNA". It matches the Rfam family "Bacterial small subunit ribosomal RNA", at positions 524 to 776 of the family's 1533-position model. The record is from RNAcentral.